Molecule: long non-coding RNA, 1018 nt
Filed under: Mytilus galloprovincialis (Mediterranean mussel)
Lineage: Eukaryota; Metazoa; Mollusca; Bivalvia; Mytilida; Mytilidae
Source: RNAcentral
CAGGUGACAAUCUUCUUUUAAUUGUUUGAAAACAAAAAACACAUUUCAAUUUUAUAAAAACUAGAAAUUAAAAAGUAUUCUUUUGAAAGAAUGCAUUGGAUGACACAAAAGGGAAAUGAUUGUGAAAUGAUAUAAAAUAACAUAGUAAACAGUUAAAUUACCCUCAUGAUUAUUGAUUAAAUGCAAAUUAUGAAAUAAUUUUUUAUCUUGCAGCAGUGUUUUAGGGAGAUCAUAUAGGGUUUAUGUUUUACAUGUUUUCAGUCAUACUGACUUUGUCAUGCAAAGUUUAGACUGCAGAAUUGGUAUUUUUUUUAUUCAUAACUUUUUUAUGCCUUUUCAAGUAACUUUUGGAGAUUUUAUUUUAGUGUCGUCUUUAAAUCAGCAGUGCUAGUAUGUGAAACUAUUAAAUGACAAUAAGGACAUCUCUUUGUAAAUACAGAUAAACAUAAAAUACAUGCAACUGAAGCUUAUUGAGUAUUACCAGUUAAACAUGAAGGUGAACAUUAUUUUUCCCCAACUAUUUUGAUAUUGUUGUUAUUCAUAUUUUUAUUGUGAUUAUGUUUAUACUAAAGGGCAAUUUGAACUCAAUAAUAUUAUACUUAAUGAAGAAAUUUUUUUUAUUUAAAUAACAUCUGAAUAUAAGUUAAAUAUUCACAAAGACAUAGCUGAAAAGUAGUGGAGAGCUGUAUUUCAACUUCUCAUACUAAUCACACUAUUUGAAUUUCUUCAAUAUAACAUUAUAUUCUUGAAUCUUAGAAAAAAAAAGAUCAAUGCAAGGAUGUAGUUACGAGGCCAUUUGAUAUUUAUAUGAUAGACAGUAUUAAAAUGAUAUGAAAUCCGGAAUUAAUAUUGUACAAUCAAACAUAACAUUAUUGUCAACACUGCAAAUGAUAUCUUGACUUUAAACUCAACUUAUGAUGCAAUUCAAGAUUUCAAAUAUAAAGCAAAUAUGUUUUUAUACUUUGAUUAUGUUUAUAUUAUAAAACAGAUGCAAUCUUAAUAAAAUGACCAAAUGAUA